Molecule: ribosomal RNA, 481 nt
Filed under: uncultured bacterium
Lineage: Bacteria
Description: partial 16S ribosomal RNA
Rfam family: Bacterial small subunit ribosomal RNA
Source: RNAcentral
GAUGAACGCUAGCGGCAGGCCUAAUACAUGCAAGUCGAACGAGAUUAGGAGGCUUGCUUCUUAUGACAGCGGCGCACGGGUGCGUAACGCGUAUGCAACCUACCUUAAUCAGGGGGAUAGCUCGAAGAAAUUCGGCUUAUGACCCCAUAAAAACACAGGAUAGCAUUAUCCAACUUUCAAAUAUUUAUUGGCUUAUGAUGGGCCGGCGUGUCAUUAAGUAGUUGGCGUGGUAACGUCCCACCACGGCGACGAUUACUAGGGGAUCUGAGAGGAUGACCCCCCGCACUGGGACUGGGACACGAACCAGACGCCUACGAGAGGCAGCAGUAAGGGAUAUUGGGCCAAAGAGCGAACUCUGAACCGGCGAGGCCGCGUAGAAGAAGACAGCCCUCUGAAGCGCAAAAUGCUUUGAUGAGGGAAUAUACCUUUCUACGUGUAUGAAGCGACAUGUACCGAAGGAAUAGGGACCGGCAAACUCCGG